AUUUAUCCUAACUACCAAAAGUAUAAAAUAAACAGUUAACAGAGCAUGGGGUAGAUAAUAUGAAGGUUCGUUUCGUGUGUAUUUUAGUCCAGACGCCAUCUAAUUAACUAUCGAUUUGACCUCAGAUGACCAUAUAAGCGAUGUAAACAUGAAUAAAGAUAUGAAUAGAUUAAACCAACACGUGCAAUUGGAUUUUUUUUAGGUCUGGUUGAGUUUAUUUUAUAGAUUAAAAAUAUAUGUUUCUCAUUGUUUUUAACCGUAUAAGAAUGAUUUUAUAUAGAUCGAAUCAGUAAUCAAAUGAUUUACC
RNAcentral lists this long non-coding RNA (307 nucleotides) under Mytilus galloprovincialis (Mediterranean mussel). The record is from RNAcentral. Lineage: Eukaryota; Metazoa; Mollusca; Bivalvia; Mytilida; Mytilidae.